This 253-nucleotide ribosomal RNA is filed under the name uncultured bacterium. RNAcentral describes it as "partial 16S ribosomal RNA". It matches the Rfam family "Bacterial small subunit ribosomal RNA", at positions 524 to 776 of the family's 1533-position model. The record is from RNAcentral.
UACGGAGUGUGCAAGCGUUACUCGGAAUCACUGGGCAUAAAGCGCGCGUAGGCGGGUAUUCAAGUCGGUUGUGAAAUCCCCCAGCUCAACUGGGGAACUGCAUCCGAUACUGUCUGUCUUGAGGACGAGAGGGGAGAGUGGAACUUCUGGUGGAGCGGUGAAAUGCGUAGAUAUCAGGAAGAACACCAAUGGCGAAGGCAGCUCUCUGGGACGGUACUGACGCUGAGACGCGAAAGCGUGGGGAGCGAACAGG